CUAUACAAGGUUGUGCUGACUUGGGUCUCCUGUUCUGCAUGAGCCUCUGACACGCAUAGUUGAGGUUGAGGAAUCUGUGCCUAGUGGGUUUGAGGUUUCAUCAAGAGAAAAACGGGAAACUUAUGUGAUUUCACUGAGUAACUAUUUUCACUACAAAAAAAAAAAAUUCCCAUAUUUAUUUUUUCCCCCUUUUGAAAUGGCACUAAGGAAACACAUGCCAGACUGCCAUGAACAGAGGCUGUACUUUCCAAACAGUAGCAAGGACUAAAAAUAGAAAAGCUUGAUUUGCUCAAGAUGUAUAUAACUUCCUCUCCCAUUUCCUUUCCCCACCACCCUGAGUCAGUACACAGAAGCAGUGCAUGUUGAACCCUUUGCAUGCUGACAACAGUGUCAAAAGCAUCAAAAGGGUGCUUUUGAUAAGUAUAGUACAGACUUCCUAAGUCCUUUCCCAGAGAAUUUCUAUUGCCCAUUCAAAUAAAGAAUGAAUCGAUCAAGCCUCAAAUACCAACGAAGUAGCUAUUCUAUCUUCUUGCAAUAAAAUAAAGGUUAUGGGUGAUACAGAAAUAUGAGUUGUGAUCCUGCCUUCAGGCAGUUGCUAAAAGAAAUGAACAAGAAGGUAAUGGAAACACCAGAGGUCUGGGAGUCCAGAAACCUCUAAUAGUGGUUAGGGCCAGUUCUCCUACUAACUGGGUCACCUUGAACAGUUCACUUAAGAAACUUAGGCUCCAGUUUCCUCAUCACAAGAAAGAGCAGGUGGGUUAGGACCAUGUCAAAUCUGGUGCUCUAUGACUUGUGAUUUUAUGUAAUUUCUAAAGUUCUCCCACAUUAUGAUUCUGGCUUUAUAAAAUAAAGUUUGGUGGCAAGAUUAUUGUACAGGCAAUGAUUACAUUACUCCACAAAAGGGCAUACAUUAAUUGGCAGAAAAAUCAACCAGCAUUAACAAAUUUAUUUAUUAACUGACUCAUAGUAAGCCUUUACUCUGAACCAGAAAUUGUUGGAUACUCUACAUUCAUUAUCUCAAUUAAUCCCCAAAAUAACCUUCUAAGAAACUGCUAUUUGCAUGUAAAGAUAGAUGGGAAAUGCAGUGGUAAGUGACCUAGCAGGGCAUUUUAACCCUAAAUCCUGGGCUCAUGUCACCAUAUCACAUGACUCAAUCAAAAGACUCAGGAGGCAAAAAAGAGAGAGACUCAUAUGAUCCAGUUGUCAGACACAUACGAGUAAAUAGUAAAGUUAGGCCUUCAAAAAUGAGGAUGUGUCAGGUAUCAAGAAAGACAUAAGAAAAAUUAGCUUGGCAUAUGAAGCUGACAAUGAGGACAUAAGCUUCAAAAGAGCAAGGACUGUAUAAAAAGCACAGCGGGAAAUAAGGUGUGCUAUAUAAGAUGAGGUAAGUCAUAGAGUUCUCUGAAAAGUAAAUCAAGAGGAGAAAUUUAAUGUGGCAUACAAUAAAAAGACAGAGGAAGCACAUUUUAACCACUAAUUGGUUAUAGAUAUGCAGUUGGAAUGUAAAAAAGAUAGAAUCAAGGCAAUGAGUAGGUUGUAACCCAGAAGACAUGAACUAGGACAAUGGGCAAGAAAAUACAGAGAUUGAAAUAAUCCUGUAAACCUUGGUGAUAGACAUACAAAGAAAGCAAGAUGUAUCAUCAACGAACACAGUUUAGCUGGCAAGACUAGAAAAUAUAAUGGCAUCUCUAAUAGAAUGUAAGCCUUUGAGCAAGAUGAUGAGUAGACUUAGGGACACAUCAAAAGUGAAAAGGCAGGUGUUAUCUACAAAAAGAUCUCAAGGAUAAAUGAAAGAAAACUUGUCAAAGGAAAACACAAUACCAAGUCAUAAGCAUUUGAAGUAAUUAGAUAAAGAAAGACCAAAGUUGAUCCCAUUAGAGUUGUGACAUCUACUGAAAGAAAACAGAAGGUCAAAUGGAAAACUCUGAGUGGCCAUGUAAAUUUAGAGACAAGAAGAAAGGAAGAGGAGCUGGUAAAUAAGGGAGAAAAGGAAUGGUUGCAGGCACACGGAGGAAUCAAGGAAAUUCUGUUCAGUAAAAAUCAAAAGGAAGUUAAAGGGAUUCGGAGAAUAUGGCAAAGCAGGAAGCACCAUAAAUCUGUCUUUCAACACCCAUUGCACUGGCGCCAUCUAAGAAGUUAUUUUGGAAGUCAAGAGUCUAUUAAAGGCAUCUAAUUUCUGGAGGGAAGGCUUAGAUGGCAUCUGUGCACAUGUUCUUGAAGCAGCUUGCAUAUAACUCACCUGAUCCAAGCUGGGCAUAAAGGACCCGUCUUCCAUAUAUAAGGGAUCUGUGCAUUAAUUGCUGCUUCUAAUCACACAUAUAAAGAAAAAGGGGCAACUAUCAUUAGUGUUGCCCCUCCUACUCCAGCUGAAGUGUCUUACAUGGGACUCAAAAGGCCAGUACUUUUUCUUUUUUUUCCUUUCUUCAUUUUUAUUUUUUUACUUUUUCUCAUUUUGGGAGACAGACAUUGAUGACCAGGGCAUUUGAAAACAAUAGGGGAAAUUAGAAAGUCACUGCACAUAACCAGGGAAAGAUACAGGCUCAGAAAAUAAUUAAGAUCAUAGGUUUACAAAAAAGCUAAUACUUAGCACAGAGACAGGCAAUGAUAACCCCACAAAACAAAAACAACAGUAAACCUUGGGGAAGAUAAAGAGUCUGAUUUCCUGAGUUACUAUAUUAUUAGAUUCAAAUGUGCGCUUUUCAACAACAACAAAAAAAUCAAAAGACAUACAAAGAAACAGGAUAGCCUGGUCUGUUCAAAGCAAAAAUAUAAACCAACAGAAACUGUCUCUAAAAAAGACCUGAUGGUGGAUCUACCUGACCAAGACUUAAAAACUACUGUCUUAAAAGCGCUCAAAGAACUGAAGGAAGCAAGGAGAAAGUUAAGAAAACAAUGCAUGAAUAAAAUGGGAAUAUCAAUACAGUAAAAGAAAAAAAAAACAAAAAGCAAUUGUGGAAAUGAAAACUACAAUAACUAAAAUAAAAAAUUCAUUAGAGGAACGAAAAGGCAGAUUGAGAAGACAAAAGAAAGAAUCAGAAAACUUGAAGAGAGGUCAAAGUAAAUUAAUAAGUCUAAGAAUCAGAAAGAAUAAAGACUGAAGACAGGUGAACUGAACCUAAGAGACCUGUGGGACACAGUCAAGUAUACUAAAGUAUGCCUUAUGCGAUUCCCAGAAGGAUGAGACAGAGAUAAAAGGCAGGGACGAUACUUGAAGAAAUAAUGGCCAAAAAAAUCCCCAAAUUUGAUCAAAGACAAGAGUAUAAACAUCCAAAAAGCUCAAAAAGUACAAGACGAAUUCAAACACUGAGGCACCUUAUAAUUAAACUGUCAAAAAACAAAGACAAUGACAGAAUUUUGAAAGUUGCAAGAGAGGUAACUCAUCAUAUACAAGGGAGCCUCAAGAAAAUUAUCCAGUUUUCUUCUCAGCAGCUUUAGAUGCCAAAAAACAGUGGGCCGGUAUAUUCAAAGUACGAAAA
Cebus imitator (Panamanian white-faced capuchin) is the source of this 3476-nucleotide long non-coding RNA. RefSeq lists it as uncharacterized. The transcript is spliced from 2 exons. Lineage: Eukaryota; Metazoa; Chordata; Mammalia; Primates; Cebidae. The record is from RefSeq and is a predicted model, not a curated record.